RNAcentral lists this ribosomal RNA (378 nucleotides) under uncultured prokaryote. RNAcentral's name for it is "bacterial SSU rRNA". It matches the Rfam family "Archaeal small subunit ribosomal RNA", at positions 474 to 851 of the family's 1478-position model. The record is from RNAcentral.
UACCGGCGGCUCGAGUGGUGGCCACUAUUACUGGGCUUAAAGCGUUCGUAGCUGGUUUGUUAAGUCUCUGGGGAAAUCUUCCGGCUUAACCGGAAGGCGUCUCAGGGAUACUGGCAGACUAGGGACCGGAAGAGGUGAGGGGUACUCCAGGGGUAGGAGUGAAAUCCUGUAAUCCUUGGGGGACCACCUGUGGCGAAGGCGCCUCACCAGGACGGCUCCGACAGUGAGGGACGAAAGCUGGGGGAGCAAACCGGAUUAGAUACCCGGGUAGUCCCAGCCGUAAACGAUGUGCGUUAGGUGUAUCGGUGACCACGAGUCACCGAGGUGCCGAAGAGAAAUCGUGAAACGUACCGCCUGGGAAGUACGGUCGCAAGGCUG